RNAcentral lists this transfer RNA (76 nucleotides) under Bacillus thuringiensis. RNAcentral describes it as "tRNA-Val". It matches the Rfam family "tRNA". From Rfam's summary of the family: Transfer RNA (tRNA) molecules are approximately 80 nucleotides in length. The record is from RNAcentral. RNAcentral also lists the same sequence under 2 other names. Lineage: Bacteria; Bacillati; Bacillota; Bacilli; Caryophanales; Bacillaceae.
GGAGGAUUAGCUCAGCUGGGAGAGCACCUGCCUUACAAGCAGGGGGUCGGCGGUUCGAUCCCGUCAUCCUCCAUCA